CGAAACCUGCCCAGCAGAGCGACCCGCGAACAUGUGAUGCCCCCGGUUGCGCCGGACGGUCGGUCGGCGGUCGUCGAAAGCCCCCCCCGCCCGCUCGGAAAAAAACGAACCCCCGGACCGCGCCAAGGAAAACGAACAACGGAUCGGGCGCCCCGAGAGGACGCGCCCCCCCCGAACGAAAUCUCAA
This 187-nucleotide ribosomal RNA is filed under the name Corydalis henrikii. Lineage: Eukaryota; Viridiplantae; Streptophyta; Magnoliopsida; Ranunculales; Papaveraceae. The record is from RNAcentral.